RNAcentral lists this ribosomal RNA (492 nucleotides) under uncultured bacterium. Its description in RNAcentral is "partial 16S ribosomal RNA". It matches the Rfam family "Bacterial small subunit ribosomal RNA", at positions 29 to 507 of the family's 1533-position model. The record is from RNAcentral.
AGUGAACGCUGGCGGUAGGCCUAACACAUGCAAGUCGAACGGCAGCACAGUAAGAGCUUGCUCUUACGGGUGGCGAGUGGCGGACGGGUGAGGAAUACAUCGGAAUCUACUUUUUCGUGGGGGAUAACGUAGGGAAACUUACGCUAAUACCGCAUACGACCUACGGGUGAAAGCAGGGGAUCUUCGGACCUUGCGCGAUUGAAUGAGCCGAUGUCGGAUUAGCUAGUUGGCGGGGUAAAGGCCCACCAAGGCGACGAUCCGUAGCUGGUCUGAGAGGAUGAUCAGCCACACUGGAACUGAGACACGGUCCAGACUCCUACGGGAGGCAGCAGUGGGGAAUAUUGGACAAUGGGCGCAAGCCCGAUCCAGCCAUACCGCGUGGGUGAAGAAGGCCUUCGGGUUGUAAAGCCCUUUUGUUGGGAAAGAAAGGCAGCAGGUUAAUACCCCGCUGUUCUGACGGUACCCAAAGAAUAAGCACCGGCUAACUUCGUG